This 137-nucleotide ribosomal RNA is filed under the name uncultured eukaryote. Its description in RNAcentral is "partial 18S ribosomal RNA". It matches the Rfam family "Eukaryotic small subunit ribosomal RNA", at positions 1299 to 1458 of the family's 1831-position model. The record is from RNAcentral.
UGGUGGAGUGAUUUGUCUGGUUAAUUCCGUUAACGAACGAGACUUCAGCCUGCUAAAUAGUUUAUGUCAACUUGUUGUCAAUAAACUUCUUAGAGGGACUAUAUGCUUUUAGCAUAUGGAAGUUGGAGGCAAUAACA